GAUGAACGCUAGCGGCAGGCCUAAUACAUGCAAGUCGAACGGGAUCCAGAUCAAAGCUUGCUUUGGUCUGGUGAGAGUGGCGCACGGGUGCGUAACGCGUGAGCAACCUACCCUUGUCAGGGGGAUAGCCCGGCGAAAGUCGGAUUAAUACCGCAUGACAUCAUUGAGAGGCAUCUUUCGAUGAUCAAAGAUUUAUCGGACAAGGAUGAGCUCGCGUGACAUUAGCUAGUUGGUAAGGUAACGGCUUACCAAGGCUGCGAUGUCUAGGGGCUCUGAGAGGAGAAUCCCCCACACUGGUACUGAGACACGGACCAGACUCCUACGGGAGGCAGCAGUAAGGAAUAUUGGUCAAUGGACGGAAGUCUGAACCAGCCAUGCCGCGUGCAGGAGGACGGCCCUAUGGGUUGUAAACUGCUUUUAUACGGGAACAAACGUCGGUACGUGUACCGGUCUGAGUGUACCGUAAGAAUAAGGAUCGGCUAACUCCGUG
Molecule: ribosomal RNA, 490 nt
Filed under: uncultured bacterium
Lineage: Bacteria
Description: partial 16S ribosomal RNA
Rfam family: Bacterial small subunit ribosomal RNA
Source: RNAcentral